This 369-nucleotide ribosomal RNA is filed under the name uncultured bacterium. RNAcentral describes it as "bacterial SSU rRNA". It matches the Rfam family "Bacterial small subunit ribosomal RNA", at positions 527 to 896 of the family's 1533-position model. The record is from RNAcentral.
GUAGGGUGCGAGCGUUAAUCGGAAUUACUGGGCGUAAAGCGAGCGCAGACGGUUAAAUAAGUCAGAUGUGAAAUCCCCGAGCUCAACUUGGGACGUGCAUUUGAAACUGUGUAACUAGAGUGUGUCAGAGGGAGGUAGGAUUCCACGUGUAGCAGUGAAAUGCGUAGAGAUGUGGAGGAAUACCGAUGGCGAAGGCAGCCUCCUGGGAUAACACUGACGUUCAUGUUCGAAAGCGUGGGUAGCAAACAGGAUUAGAUACCCUGGUAGUCCACGCCCUAAACGAUGACAAUUAGCUGUUGGGGUACUAGUUACCUUAGUAGCGAAGUAACGCGUGAAAUUGUCCGCCUGGGGAGUACGGUCGCAAGAUUA